This is a non-coding RNA of Nothobranchius furzeri (turquoise killifish), 1447 nucleotides long. The record is from RefSeq and is a predicted model, not a curated record. Lineage: Eukaryota; Metazoa; Chordata; Actinopteri; Cyprinodontiformes; Nothobranchiidae.
AUAGUGUUUUAAAUGUGUGUAUUCAUUAUUUUAGCAUUUUGGUGCAUUUUCUUAAAAAAUUAAAAAUUCUGCCUAAAUACCACAGUAUAGCUCCACCUUCAGCUUAAAACAUAGAAUUUGACUCAUUUUGAAUAAAUUUUAGCCAAUGGCUAAAGAGUAAGAUACUACGUAAUCCAGUAGAGUACUACGUAGCAGCUCUGUGUCAACGUUAUAAAAGCAUCGGGAGUCUCGGCCACGCCUUGUGGCGAGUUGGGAGUUGGAUUUGCAUGAGAGUGUAGGAGGCUAGCCGUAGUUCAGCAUUAGCAUAUAGCAUUAGCAUAUCCUAGUCUUUAGCAUAGCUUUUAGUGUUAUACAUACUUAUUUAGUGUUAGCUUGGCUGUUGGAUAUUGUAGUUUAGUUACUGUUUGGCUGUUAGUGUAAUUAGGAAAGUAGUUCGGGUUUAGUGCUCCAUAUCGUGUUAGCAUGUUGAGAUGGUGUAGUGUAGUAUGGUUGCGGAGCUCUGUCGGGUUGCACUCCUUUCCGCUGGACUUAGAAAUUAGGCGCCAGUGGUUGCGUGUCUGGAAAAGAUUCAGCUCCCGCCUGGUGCUGUAGUUUGCAACCAGCAUUUUACCCGCGAUUCUGCACGUCUCCGUUCCAAGAGGGAGGCUGUGCCCACCGUGGCUCUUCCGCGAUUUAGAUGCAGCCCACCGACUCUGCUCCCCCACCAUGACGGGCUACAGUCUGAGGCUAAAUCUACCCAAGACACUGGCUGUCAGACUGAUUUAGUAAUCUGCAAGAAUGCACUUGUCCAGGCUGACGUGGUGUUACCCGUAGCAAAGAGCUCACAGCCUCAGUGUCUUGUGACACAGGGACCAUGACAGAAAUUCAUCUUCCAGAAGGUCCCAGAGCAUCCACACCUCCUGAAAAGACCACGGUGUGAGGUGUCUGCUGUUGAUUCCAGCUUCCACCUCAGUGACAGUGCAAGCUCAGUGAACUGUUCAAGGAGGCUACUGAUUCUGGCCCUGUGACACUUGGUGGUCACCACCAGGUGGUGACGUGUGAGCUGAUUCACCUGGACACUCAGCAAAAUAUGGACUCUACACCAUGAGGCAGGCACACGUUAAUACUCAAAAAGAGCACAUAAGGUAAGCAACACCACAUAUUAUUUUUAUUACUGUACACUGUCCUGGAUUUGUUUUCUUUCUGCAUGAUUUGUUUUCUUUCUGCAUCUCAUCAUUAGCCUGGCUGAUCACCUGAUAACUCCUGUCAUCUGGUUAUGACAGCAUGAGGAUGGCCUCACACACCUGUAACCUACCAGCUCAUCUGGCAGAAUAGAGAGAGAAGAGACAACACCACAUCUCCUGUUCCUGGAAAGCCUUCAGCCAUCCUUUGAUGACUGAGAACCUCCAUCAGCUCUGUCUCCUGUCUGCCUACAAUUAUUAUAAUAAAUAUUGUGUUUGACAAGUUU